CAGGUUCAGGAAUCUAGCUAUCGGCGCCUCCUUUACUCGGUUCUUGACUGAGAUGGAUUUCCUUCGUUUCGCAGUUGUCUCAAGAUGAUGUAGCAGCGCUAAGAUCUCCUAGUGAAAUGAAAUGAUGAUGAUGAUGAUGACACGAAAGAGGCUCCAACUGUGCUGUUCCACUACAGAGGUCUUCAUUGAUUGAAAUGUCCACAGUGCAAGGUUUUCUACAUUGGACAGAUAAAGAGAUGCCUUCAAGAGCACUUAGAGGAACACAAGUACACCAUACGGGUAGGCUAUGAAGACUACCCCAUGGCAAGGCACUACAAGUCCUUACACCAUGGCAACCCUACAAGCUAUGGAUGUUGAUCAUGUUUUGGCUUCAAUUAGAAAAGGGGACCGUCUUAAACAGUUAAACCAAAGGGAAUGUUUUUCGAUUUACAAACUACAGGCCACUAAGUACCCUGGUUUAAAUGAAGAUAUGGAUUUACAAACUACAGGCCACUAAAUACCCUGGUUUAAAUGAAGAUAUGGAUUUACAAACUACAGGCCACU
This is a long non-coding RNA of Oncorhynchus mykiss (rainbow trout), 543 nucleotides long. RefSeq lists it as uncharacterized. NCBI's taxonomy places the organism in Eukaryota, Metazoa, Chordata, Actinopteri, Salmoniformes, Salmonidae. The record is from RefSeq and is a predicted model, not a curated record.